RNAcentral lists this ribosomal RNA (680 nucleotides) under Streptomyces chromofuscus. RNAcentral describes it as "bacterial SSU rRNA". It matches the Rfam family "Bacterial small subunit ribosomal RNA", at positions 97 to 791 of the family's 1533-position model. Lineage: Bacteria; Bacillati; Actinomycetota; Actinomycetes; Kitasatosporales; Streptomycetaceae. The record is from RNAcentral.
GGCGAACGGGUGAGUAACACGUGGGCAAUCUGCCCUUCACUCUGGGACAAGCCCUGGAAACGGGGUCUAAUACCGGAUACGAGCCUCCUCCGCAUGGGGGAGGUUGGAAAGCUCCGGCGGUGCAGGAUGAGCCCGCGGCCUAUCAGCUUGUUGGUGAGGUAACGGCUCACCAAGGCGACGACGGGUAGCCGGCCUGAGAGGGCGACCGGCCACACUGGGACUGAGACACGGCCCAGACUCCUACGGGAGGCAGCAGUGGGGAAUAUUGCACAAUGGGCGCAAGCCUGAUGCAGCGACGCCGCGUGAGGGAUGACGGCCUUCGGGUUGUAAACCUCUUUCAGCAGGGAAGAAGCGCAAGUGACGGUACCUGCAGAAGAAGCGCCGGCUAACUACGUGCCAGCAGCCGCGGUAAUACGUAGGGCGCAAGCGUUGUCCGGAAUUAUUGGGCGUAAAGAGCUCGUAGGCGGCUUGUCGCGUCGGUUGUGAAAGCCCGGGGCUUAACCCCGGGUCUGCAGUCGAUACGGGCAGGCUAGAGUUCGGUAGGGGAGAUCGGAAUUCCUGGUGUAGCGGUGAAAUGCGCAGAUAUCAGGAGGAACACCGGUGGCGAAGGCGGAUCUCUGGGCCGAUACUGACGCUGAGGAGCGAAAGCGUGGGGAGCGAACAGGAUUAGAUACCCUGGU